Molecule: non-coding RNA, 689 nt
Organism: Camellia sinensis
Lineage: Eukaryota; Viridiplantae; Streptophyta; Magnoliopsida; Ericales; Theaceae
Source: RefSeq, a predicted model, not a curated record
CAACUCACUCACACUCACACCGCCUCUCAUCUCUCUCUCUAAAAGCCUCAUCACCGCCGAUCUCGCUCCCUCCGCCGUCCUCCUCUCCCUCCUCCUCCACUGUCCUCCUUUCCCUUCUCUCAUCACCGCCGAUUUCCCUCUUCCUCUGCUGUUUUUGGCGAGAGAGAACUGUGGUUAGGAUUUCUGAUCUCAGCCACAACAAGUACUCAGAUCUGCAAUGAGCGAGGCCAUAACAAGGCGUCGCUGCUGGUGAACAAGUUGAGUUCGAUGCCCUAGACAACAGAGGUCUCUAACCUCAAACCAGUCAUUCGUUCCAUUUCCAUCCCCCGUUAGGAAAUUCAACAUUGGAAUCAGUGGGCUAUACAUAUGAUGAUGAUGAGUUUGACUCGGAUGACUCAUGUGGCACUUUUGUGAAUUCAAGUUGAAGGAGACGAUGACAGUUGUGGUUAUAUCAAAUUUUUGGAGAAACAAUGUUGUUUUAUUGUUGUCAUAUUGAUGUUAUAUGUUUUAUUUGAACAACUAUUGUUUCAUGUUGUAAUAGACUAAUGGUACUAUUUUUAUUUUUUUUUGGUUUUUGGUUGGACAUUUGAUAUAUUAUGUUGCAUGGAUUAUUUUGAGGGAUUUAUUGGUUGUGGGUUGAGAGAUGAGAGUUCUAUAUUGUUUAAGUGUUUUUUUGGUUAUUUCUCCUA